AACGUAGGUGGCGAGCGUUAUCCGGAUUUACUGGGCGUAAAGGGUGUGCAGGCGGGCUGUUAAGUGGUGUAUGAAAUAUCCCGGCUCAACCGGGAGAGGUUAUGCCAGACUGGCAGUCUAGAGAGCGAGAGAGGGACGUGGAAUUCCGGGUGUAGUGGUGAAAUGCGUAGAGAUCCGGAGGAACCCCAGAGGCGAAGGCGGCGUCCUGGCUCGCAUCUGACGCUCAGGCGCGACAGCGUGGGGAUCAAACAGG
This 253-nucleotide ribosomal RNA is filed under the name uncultured bacterium. RNAcentral describes it as "partial 16S ribosomal RNA". It matches the Rfam family "Bacterial small subunit ribosomal RNA", at positions 524 to 776 of the family's 1533-position model. The record is from RNAcentral.